This 499-nucleotide ribosomal RNA is filed under the name uncultured bacterium. RNAcentral describes it as "bacterial SSU rRNA". It matches the Rfam family "Bacterial small subunit ribosomal RNA", at positions 29 to 508 of the family's 1533-position model. The record is from RNAcentral.
AACGAACGUUAGCGGCGCGCCUAACACAUGCAAGUCGCACGAGAAAGGGCUUAGGCCCCGGUACAGUGGCGCACGGGUGAGUAACACGUAGGUAAUCUUCCCUCGAGUGGUGGAUAACUCUCCGAAAGGAGAGCUAAUACAGCAUGAGACCACAGCAUCCCCGGAUGCAGCGGUCAAAGCAGGCCUCUUCAUGAAAGCUUGCGCUCAAGGACGAGCCUGCGGCCCAUCAGCUAGUUGGUGAGGUAACGGCCCACCAAGGCUAAGACGGGUAGCUGGUCUGAGAGGAUGAACAGCCACACUGGAACUGACACACGGUCCAGACUCCUACGGGAGGCAGCAGUGGGGAAUCUUGCGCAAUGGGCGAAAGCCUGACGCAGCGACGCCGCGUGAGCGAUGAAGGCCUUCGGGUUGUAAAGCCUGUGGGGAGAGAAGAAUAAGGAUACGCUAACACCGUACUCGAUGACGGUAUCUCCUUAGCAAGCACCGGCUAACUCUGUGC